Molecule: unclassified non-coding RNA, 5446 nt
Filed under: Leishmania donovani
Lineage: Eukaryota; Euglenozoa; Kinetoplastea; Trypanosomatida; Trypanosomatidae
Source: RNAcentral
UAAAGUAAGAGGCCCAAGUAAACAGCGCCACGGCAACGGUAGUGUCACAGAGAGCACCCAAGAUCUUCCACUGCUCCGACCCCCCUCCCCCCCACACACACACUCCCCUCUGCAUAACUUGACAAGUGAGCGCCACGUCAGACAUGUCAGCCAACAGAAACCACAACACCAAUCGUGCUCCGUAUCCCCAGCGCGGGCAGGGCCGCUUGGCUUCCGACAACAUGCCAGAGGACCCUCCGGAGUACGGCGAGGACGGGCUGCACAUGCUGAACAAUGACCACAGCCAGGAGCACUUGGCGGAUGAGGUAGUGGUGGGAGCUAGCGACGCGGACGGCAAAACCAAGGGGUCCAAGAAGCUCGAGUCCCCCUCGCUCACUGAUGAUGGAGAGCCGGCAGCUAAAGGGAACAAGCAGCAGUCGGCCUACAUGGAUAUCGCACAGCAGAUCAUUGAGGCGGACCAGCGCAACCGUGAGGACCGUGUGUGGCGUCGCCGCCACACCACCAACCCUGUCCUGCGCGCGCUGCAGGUGAUCAUGCCGUAUGGUGGCAUCCUCGCCUCAGCCUUCAGCAUCGCCAGCUCCACGAUCGGCGGCGGCAUCAUCGGACUCCCUGCGGCAUUCCAGAUGAGCGGGAUGGGGAUGGCGAUUAUCUACUUGAUUGUUGUGGUGAUCAUGGCGAUCUACUCCUUUGUGCUGCUCGCCAUUGUGUCACACAAGACCGGGCUGUACAACUGGGAGAUCAUCGCGCGUCGCCUGAUGGGCCGCGGCUGGGACUACUUCGUCGUCUUCGUCAUGUGGGUGCUCUGCUUUGGUGGUGAUGUCUCGUACAUCAUUGCCCUCAAGAGCAUCCUCACCGGCUUCCUGAAGAACUCGCCAACUGCAUCUGAAUACAUCAAGUCGGAGCCGGGGUACCGCCUCAUUACGUCGAUGCUGUGGAUUGUUGUGAUCCUGCCGAUGUGCCUGCCGAAGGAGAUCAACUCGCUGCGCAUCGUCUCCACAGUGGCCAUCCUCUUCGUCGUGUUCUUCACCAUCACCUGCAUCAUUCACUCCUCUCAGAGCCUGCAUGCACGUGGCAUGCGAGACGACCUGGUGUCUUUCCAAACCGGCAACACGGCUAUCAACGGCUUGUCGAGCCUCAUGUUUGCCUUCAUUGCGCAAGUGAACGCGCCGGAGAUAUCUCGUGAGAUGUACAAGUUUUCUGUGCACCGGGUCUUCUUGUCGGCGCUGCUCGGCAUGUCGCUGUGCGCGAUCCUGUACUUCCUGACAGGGCUCUUCGGCUACCUCGACUUUGGUCCUGAGGUGAGCGACUCCAUCCUGGCCAUGUACAACCCCCUGAAGAACCAUCUCAUGGCCGUCUCGUACGUUGGCAUGAUGCUCAAAAUUUGCGUAGGCUUCGCUCUGCACCUGAUCCCCUGCCGCGACUGCGUGUACUACAUGAUCGGCACCGAAGUAUCCCAUGUACCAUGGUGGAAGAACGCCAUCUUGUGCUCCCUACAAGCCGCGGCGGCUCUCGUCGCCGGCCUCUUCAUCCCGCGCAUCACAACCGUCUUUGGUCUUCUGGGUGGUUUCUGCGGUGGCUUUGUGGGCUUCAUCUUCCCCUCGCUGUUCAUGAUGUACUCGGGCGGCUUCUCGGCCGCCCGCAUUGGGUGGGGCCACUUCCUCGGCACCUACGCACUGCUACUGACGGGUGUGGUUGCCGUGGUGUGGGGCACUAGCGCCGCCAUCCACGGCGCUGUCCUUUCUUCGUGGUAGGCGUGUCGCGUGCGCAUCCGUGCUGAGCAGAGCUGCACAGUAUGCCCUUUAAAAAAGGGAGCACCGCUGAUCAUUCAAUCGCGUUGCAGGAACGGCCUCCGCAUGCGCGAGGAAGCACAUCGACGCACGUCGCCAGCGUAGAACCGGCACCAGCGACAGCCGUACAAGGGCGUUCACAGAUAAACCUAUCAAGCAGGGCCUCUUCUCUCUUUUUUUUCCUGCCUGUGUACGCACCCCUCAGAUCCUUCCUGUCAUGCUUUUUGUCUCCUUUUGUUUUUACGCGCUUCCACGCAGCUGGAGCUCCGUCUCCCUGGCGCAACGCGCUCGCCCCUGCCUCUGCUCGCUCUCCACCAAGGCUCUGACUGAGCACUCAGGACAGGCGCAAGGGUUAGGGUGGAGGGCACGCACGAGGUGCGCAUCUCGUUGCGGUUUGCUGUGAUGGAGAAGAGCGCAAAAGGCAAUAAAGCCUGUCAUGGUUUGUUUUUCUCAUUUUUUUAAGAUGCUUGCGGAAUCGCUCGGCGGCUUCCAGAAGCUGAAGCGAAUGAGCGCCAACCGCAACGAGGCCCACUUCCCCCUCCCCUCUCCCCUCUCCCCUCUCCGAUUUAAGUGACGCCCUUUCCGUUUCUUUGCUGUUGUUUCUCUGCAAGAGGAAACACAAAUGGCUCUUCUCUUUUUUUGCUUGUUUUCGGUUUUCUAUGUUGUCAUCCGUCUUUCCCCUCCCGCUCCCUUUGUGCGUGUGCGUGAACGUGCGACGUCGCGUAUCCAUAUCACAAGUCUCUCUCUCUAUAUAUGUAUAUAUAUAUAUAUAUAUUGAUAAAGUUUGUCCUUUUUUCGUUCUCUAUCUGCCCACCCUCCGGCUCCCUCGCACUAUCACGAGUUGAAGCUGCUCAUGAGGAAUGCUCGGGGCAUGACUGCGCCUCCUCUUGUUCUUCAUGGACUCUCGCCAGUGCACGAGGAGGGGAUGCACCGCUUUCGUACGCGCGUGUGUGCGAGCUGAUGACUUCUGGAAGCGCAAUUUGCUCACAUUUUUUUCUGUUUUACCUGGUGAUGCUGACCACCACACCGUGGUAUCUCAGGGCCCAGUGCCUCCUCCGUGGGGAUGCCAACCAGCCUGCAGCCUGCCCUCGGGUAUCGGUUACCGAGACCUCGUGUCGGCGGACAGGUCUGAGCUGGCGCUGUGCCAGAGAGACUUUCGGUCAUCAUGAUCAUGCUGGUACCAGUCCACUAAGAAUCGCUUGGACGAUUCGACAAAGAUGCGCAUCCAUGUACACUCUAUAUAUAUAUAUAUAUAUAUUGGCUGCGUCGCACUAAUGCUGAGCGUAAUCCUGGACCUAGCCUGAGCGCGGGAGGCGGUGGUAUGGCAAUGGGGGCUAAACGCGACCAAACGGAGCUGGGCUACCCAGCUCCUUGGAAAGUCUUUGAUGCAGGUCUGCAUUCUGAAAGAAACGCAUUGCACCCCCACAGGCCCGACAGGGCAGCUGGCGUCUGCGUGCUCGCACAACAGGACAUACGUAUAGGUUUGGGCCCUCCCCUUGUUCGCAAGGACGAGGUGGAAGCAGUACCAGUCUGGCUCUGCGGCGCUGCUCCCUGCUAGGCGCAUACACACCACGUCGGGCUGCACACUGAAAAGUCACCUCGCGGCACGGGAGGCUCUCCAUCAGACACCGCGCAAUGUCGCACGCAGCCCACACGCCAUCGGGGCGGGGGCCGGCUCGCGCCGCCCGGUGUCCGACACGAGAUGACGACCCAGCCGGCCAGGGAGGGGACCACCCCACACGAUUGGCCCGAUGACGAACACCUGACGUGUGCAAGCCAUAGCGACACCACGGCACGGCACACCGCCGACGCCGCCACGCAGACGCACACCUGCGAGGUGUCCCGCAAGGCCACGGCAAGAUGCACGACUGCGGCCAACAACACCCACGAAGGCGGGCCCCUCUGGUGACGCCGCCUACGCAGCGCUCUGCACGCCAGAGCUGACGCGAUUGGAAGCAGCUCUUGCGACGCUGCUCUGCGCGCCACCCUCUCUCGGUCAUGCUCAUCAUACAGCCAGCCUCGAGGGAUGGAUGCAGCCCCGCUGCGCCCUCACUCCGCCCCGCCCUGUGACGUCGACCAGCGCCCGGCGCCAAAGUCCCUCCAGCGAAUCGCCUCGCGACGACUGCGCGAUCCUUCUGUAAGACAGGCUCCAACCGCACCCGUACGGCCUCCGUCCUCACCCCGCUCCGCUGUAGGCCCCCUGGGCUUCCCCACCCCCCCCCACCCCCAACAAGCCAGUGCCGCGCCAGCAAGGCACAAAGGCAGCCGCGGCGUUUGCCGACCCUACGCCGGCACGCUGGACCCCCUACAUCACGGCGCCGCAUCGGCCCACACGCUGCAGCGGUCAUGAAAGCAUCCACGGCUCGGCCUGCCGAGCGCAGGGGGGUCUGCCCGCACGAAUGCGGUCCGUCAAAGUAUCGUCUCCGCAGCUCUCACGCCGGCGUGCAGGCAUCUACACCCCUCGGAGCGCCGCACGUACGCGCCUCCAUCAUGCACAGCGGCCGCGCGCCCCUCUCAUUUCGGCUUGUCGAUGACCGUUGUGAAUCGGUGAACAAUAAGAAGCUUGACAAGCAUGCAAAAUUGGCAAUGGCGUAUAUGUCGACGCCAACUGAACAUGUUACGGACGUGGCCACCGGUUUCCGAUGCCACGCCGACGUCUCGCGAGAACCGCGCUGCACGAUGCGGCACGCUGGCACACGGGGGCUCCUUGACGGCAGCGGUUCCACACCAGAAGAACGAGGACGCUGAGCUCACCAGACGGCCGGAGACCGUGCUCGCCCAGCUCCGCACGGGCGCCUGUCCGCACUUCGGAUUCCGCCAACGGUGGGUGGCUGGCAGUGACAGCAUGGAGCUCACAUGGUGUGGUGCCUUCUACUCCGCUAGAAUUGCGGUACCUCCGCCCCUGCCAGGGCCCUCUUCCUCGCCCUCGAGCGGGUCCGCGGACACGGGUCGCGAGGAUCAAGACAUGCAGCCCACCCGAGCCCGUCUGUCGCCGGUCGUGCAGCACGCGUCCGAAGAAGGGACGAGAAAGCACAGUAGCGAGCCCGUUCGACGCGCAGCCCUUGAUUGGACGGCAGGACGCUUCGUCCUACACGACGGAGGUUGAGCCGUGGCGCAGCAGGGGUAGGUGAGCUGUGGCUGCACGCGCAUAUCAGUCGACUUGCUCGUGGGCGAAUCGCCACGCGUUGAGAACGAGAAAAAUUUUUUACUGUGCUUUUUGUUGUUCUGUCGACGGUGGCCUCGCUGCUUAGAGGGCGGAGAAGGUGGCGACACGACGACACAGUGGGCGCCUGUGCCCUCACAGGCUUCCGUUAGUAGUUUGUGUGGUUCGCUUUGUGUGUCAGUGCGUGUGUAUCUGAGUGGUGGGACGUUAAAGAGUGCCGACGGCGCUGUGCUGUAGCGCGAGUGCUCCUCUACCCGUUCUCCUCGGAUAUAUAUACAUAUGUGUGUGUGUGUGUGCGUUUAUGUAUAAGUGCUUGCGGGCCUCUGCACGCCUCUCGCUCUCCACUUCUUUGUCUUGAAGCAAAGGAGGGGUGAGCAAGCGGAUGAAGAAAGCCGCUAAAGUGACAUCCGCGGCGGCAACUGCGAAAACAGCAAAAAAAAAGGAUAGCGCACUGCAUGUGUGUGGUGUUGCCCAUCUAAAAAGGAUGGUGACAGCG